Gorilla gorilla gorilla (western lowland gorilla) is the source of this 2780-nucleotide long non-coding RNA. RefSeq lists it as uncharacterized. Lineage: Eukaryota; Metazoa; Chordata; Mammalia; Primates; Hominidae. The record is from RefSeq and is a predicted model, not a curated record. The transcript has 3 exons.
GGGCGGAGGGGGCUGGGAGGACGGAGGGGGCUGCGCCGCGCUCGGGGAGCGGAGGGGGACCAAGGGGUCCUGAGCGGGGGAAAGGGUGCCAGGCAGGAUGCCAGGACCGCAGGCCCGUGAAGACCAUGGCGGCGGCUGUCUGAAGACCAGCUCACAGCAGGAGCUGCGCUGAGAUCUUCUCCUGGGUGCUCAUGCUGGGGCCCGAGGUCGUAUGGAAAAGGCUUGUCCCCCUCGCUGGAUGUCACAAGGCUCAGAAGAGGAACAUGAGACACAGAUGGGCUGAGUAAGCCCCCACGACGGCAGCAGGGGAGUGAAAUGGAACCAGGGUGUCCAGCUCAGGCCACGCCCCCUCCCCGGGUUGCCUGCUUGCUCUGAGCCCAGCGUUUCUACGUGUGAAGUGUCUGCCGUGUUAGGGCAGCCGAGGACCCAGCAUCCCAGGUUCUCUGUGCAGUGUUCAUCACUUGCCCUCCAGAUCUUCCCAACUCCCACCUCCCCAGCCGGCCUCCCCACUCCUGCGGAAGUAACUGCUGGGGCCCAGGACUCACUGUUGCCCCAAACGCCCAGCACUUAGCCCUCCUCGUGCAAGACUCAGCUCUAACCUCAGGUCCUUUGAAGGCUCCCACGCGCUGGCCCACCUGCGGGAAAAGCUGGUCUUCCUCCGUGCCUGACGUGAUGUCUCCGUCCCUUCCUCACCAUCACGGCACUGAGUGCCUUACCUGCUCACACACAGGGCCAUCUCCCCACCUGGACUGUUCGAUCUGAUGAUUUUUAUCAGCGUAGGUGCUGGUAACCAUGAGGUAAUGUGCUGAUGGGGAACUGAUGGGUUAGUGAGUGGCUGGACAGCUCCUGCCAUCCUGGCUGGUGGGGGCGUCCCCCCUGGACUGUGGGCCCUGCUGGAGCAGGCAUCUGAUGCACCCCAUGGCCCCCACCCAGUGCGUUCCCUGGAACACAGGCUCUGAAAUGUGCAACGUGUGGAUUCACGAGGCAGUGGCCAGGGGGGCUCGUGCGGCUUGCUGCCCUGGGGCAGAGGCAGGAAGGGCUGACAGAGGCUCUGUGCCCAGCUCUGCCAUGUGGUCCUUGGCAGGCGCUUCUGCUCUUUGUGUCUUGGUCUCCCUGUCUGUUCAAUGGAGCCCACCCCAGGUUCUGUGGGCCUCCAGAACCACCUAGAAAGAGCACCUCACGUAGGUGCAGUCACAAGGGGAGUGCCCACUCACACAGCUACCUUCCAGCAAAGCCCACGCUGCCCAUGUGCCCGCAUUCGUUUGCAUGAUGGUUUUUCUUUUUUUCUUGUGCUCCCGACAUUCCUAGGUCCCCAGCCUCCAGAUCACCCUCCUUAUUAUACCCAAAUGAAAGGCUCCACCACUUCAGCACCCCCCGUCCCCAGACAUUUCCAGGAGGUGGCGGGACCCAGGAGUCGGAUGCACCCCUGGCACCUGUUACCUCUGGGUCCUUCUCUCCUGUUCGCACAGUGCCCACAUCCUUCAGCCCCCCACUUAACAAGGGGUCCCGUCUUUUCUGAGGAUAUGAGGGUGACAGGGACCACAGUUAGCAUGCAGCUGCCAUUAUCUCAAAAUCACAGGAAAUUUUCUCUUUGUAAGUACCCUAAGUCUUCGCCAUUGCAGGGAACAUCUCACCCACCCCAUCCUGGCACAUAGACUGUCCUCUCUGGGGUCUUCCAGUAUUCAGAACUGGUGCUCCCGAGGCUCCUUCCUCUCCUACCCUGGGCACCUAAAGCUCUUGUCUCCACAGCCCUCCAGGCAAAAACAGGAAAUGCAUGCUUAUUGGGCAGAGUUGUCUGGUUCUUCUCCUUCCCUGCUGCCAUUCCAGAAGAGGGCCGGCCUCCUGUGCAUAGAUGACAGGUAAGCAGGUGUGGUUUCCGAAAUGUAGUCUCACCUGCUCGCAUCUCUCCCAUAGGCGAUAGGGGUGCAGCAGCCUCCCCUAACACACUGGGCGGGCGCCUCGCUGGGCAGGAGUCUCUCUAGGGGGGUGCCUCGUGCUCUUCUCCUCCCAGCCCCUUUCUCCUUCCUUUUCCAAUAGAAAGGACCUCAAAACAAUAGAGCUCAGUGCUGGUGAUGAGAUCAGUGUGCCUCUGCCCUCUGGGUGCCAGGGGAGAAUCCCGCCAUGCCUGGCUGUGUGUGUGCUAAGCACAGAGAACAAAGCAGAACAUGUCUCAGCUAAAAGAAACUUCCUGAGAAAUUCCAGCUGGAAAGCGCAGGAGUGACCGCAGGCUGCUAGAUAAAUGAGAGUCGACUUUAUAGAUGGCUCAGCUAAAAGAAACUUCCUGAGAAAUUCCAGCCGGAAAGAGCAGGAGUGACCGCAGGCUGCUGACCGCAGGCUGCUAGAUAAAUGAGGAUCGACUUCGCAGACGGGCAGGAAAGUUGCAGUGAGACAGGAGAGCAAUGCUGGCUCUGGGUGCCCUGGGGUUGAUAAAUAUUAGUCUCUGUGGAGUAAAUGGAUGAUGAUGGAGCUUCCCCACAGAGAGAAGAACUAAGGCUUUGGAUGCUUGGAGCAGAUAUUUCCAUUAUUAUUAAGUUUGUUUUUUGUGGAUUUAAUUAGUACUUAUUCAAACUCCAUUCGUGAUCUGUCAUACUGCUCUCUCAAAGCCUAAUUGGUUUUCUACAUAAAAUGUCACAUAGUCUUACAUCCACUGUGUGGCUGCUGGAAGUCUGUUGCUGUGUUCAGCAGGGGCUGAUUGUGGAGGUGAAAUAUGGCUUCUUGAGGAGGAACAGAGACUUGUAAACAGGAGGUUGUCAGCCUGGGCUUGGGAAGCAUCAGAGCCA